Molecule: small nucleolar RNA, 74 nt
Filed under: Corchorus capsularis
Lineage: Eukaryota; Viridiplantae; Streptophyta; Magnoliopsida; Malvales; Malvaceae
Description: Small nucleolar RNA R21
Rfam family: Small nucleolar RNA R21
About the family: snoR21 is a member of the C/D class of snoRNA which contain the C (UGAUGA) and D (CUGA) box motifs. Most of the members of the box C/D family function in directing site-specific 2'-O-methylation of substrate RNAs.
Source: Rfam by way of RNAcentral
CAUCUCAAUGAUGUUUUGUAUUGUUUAUGUUAAAAGUAGCCUGAUUUUGAUGAUAAUUUUAUUUCUGAGAGAUG